GGUGGCUCAGUGGUAGAGUGCUUGCCUCGCAUGCAUGAGGUCCUGGGUUUGAUUCCACAGCACCA
This 65-nucleotide transfer RNA is filed under the name Dipodomys ordii (Ord's kangaroo rat). It matches the Rfam family "tRNA". From Rfam's summary of the family: Transfer RNA (tRNA) molecules are approximately 80 nucleotides in length. Their secondary structure includes four short double-helical elements and three loops (D, anti-codon, and T loops). Lineage: Eukaryota; Metazoa; Chordata; Mammalia; Rodentia; Heteromyidae. The record is from Rfam by way of RNAcentral.